UGAGCUAUGAUUGCACCACUGCACUCCAGUCUGGGCGACAGAACCAGACCAUGUCUAAAAAGAAAAAACACUCAGUGAUAAUUUCACAUUACAGUUUGAGAGGUUCCUGUUGACUUGGGGAAACUAGUUUUAGCAGACUUCAUUAAAGGAGUGUACACCUUACUACAGGAUGUAAUUUAAAAUAGAAUGUUUAAAUAAUAAAUUCACUUCUGGGUAUAUACUCAAAGCAGGAAUUCAAACAGGUAUUUGUACACCAAAGUUCGUAACAGCAUUAUUCACAGUAGCCAAAAUGUGGAAACAACCCAAAUGUCCAUUAAAGGAUGAAUAAACAAAAUGUGAUAUACAUACAAUGGAAUAUUCAGCCUUUAUUUUUCCAAUCAGAGUUUCAGGAAAAUCAACCUUUAAAAGGAGUGAAAUUCUGACAUUUGCUGCCACAUGGAUGAAUCUUGAUGAUGAUAUGCUGAGUGAUAUAUAAUCAGUCACGGAAGGACAAAUACUGCAUGAUUCAAUUUAUAUCAGGUAGUGCUUUGCUAAUGACUGACCGGUGUGGAUGUAUAAAAGUCCAGCUCCGUGAUCUCAGACUUCCGGCCUCCAGAACUCAGGCCCUGACAUUGUAUAAGCUUCAGGCCCCACAAAACCUGGAUCUGCCCUGCCAGGAUCAGCAUCUAGAGGAAAACUACUACUUCCACAAUAGCACAACCAAUCUGAUCAUCCCUGCAUCAGUGAGCAUUCUCCAGAGAAACAGAGCCAACAGGAUAUGUGUAUAUAUGUGAAGAAAGACUUAUUUUAAGGAGUUGGCUCAUGCAAUUAUGGAGGUGCAAGUCCAAAAUCUGUAGGGCAGGCAGAUGGGCAGACUGGAGACCCAGAGAAGAGUUGCAGUUCAAGUCCAAAGUCGGUUGGAAGAAUUCCCUCUUGCUGGGUAACACUGGGGAAGCAGGAGUAGAUGGAAAGGGGAGGUGUCAGGCUUUGCUCUACCAAGGACUUCAACUGAUUGGAUGAGGCCCAGUAACAUUAUGGAGGGAAACCUGCUUUGCUCAGAGUUUACUGAUUUAAAUAUUAAUCUCAUCCACAAAAAAAUAAAUAACCUUCACAGAAACAUUUAGAAUAUUUGACCAAAUAUCUAAGUCCCAUGGCUCAGACAACUUAACACAUAAAAUUAUCCAUCACAAUUCCAUUAUCCCAAUACAGGUCGGCAGGGCCUUGGGCAGGUGGUAACCUCAGCUCUGGAGUCUACAGCAAUACUCUCACACUUAACAGAUGUAGUUCUGUGGGUCCAGGUCCCACUUCGCAAGAGAGAAUCUGAUGGGCUAAUUUCGACCAAGUCUCCUUUCCUAGUUCAAUCACGUGUAAGGGUUAGAGAAAGGGUUGGGCUCACAAGGGACUUAGGGCUGCCUCUCUGGACUUGGGAGAGCAGGACUUCUCAAGAGAUAAAUGGUUAGAGAGUAAUAUAAUUUGGAUAUUUGUCCCCUAUAAAUCUCAUGUUGAAAUUUGAUGUUCAAUGUUGAGGGCAGGUCUGGGACCUCCCUCCCUGCUUUUGCUCCCCCUCUCGCCAUAUGGCACAACUGCUCCCUUCACCUUCUGCUAUGAAUGGAAGCUUCCUGAGGCCUUCACCAAAAGCGGAGGCUGGUACCAUGCUUCACGCACAGCCUGCAGAAUCAUGAGCCAAAUAAACUACUUUUCUUUAUAAAUCAUCCAGUUUCAGGUAUUCGCUUAUAGCAACACAAAAUGGACUAAUACAGAGAGGAAAUAUUUUGAGCACAUUGAAGGCCCCAAAAUAUUGAGCUUUUUUUUUUUAACCUAUAUAGUACUUUUCUUGCAUCUCAGUUUGCUUAUCUAUAGAAUGAGGAUUAAUAAGACCUACCAACUUCAGGGGGUCAUUCUGGUGAGAUAAGUGAAAAAAUUUGUAAAGAAGUGUAUAAAUUUACCAUUGUUUUUUAAAACUAAAAUGAUCUCUAACACUAAGUUGAUGAUCUGAUCACAAAGAUGGGGUAGAUGAAAUGAAGAGAAAAGGUUUCUGACAUUUGUAUACUUAGAAAUGUAUCCAGGCUGGGCAUGGUGGUCCAUACCUGUAAUCCCAGCACUUUGAGAGGCCAACGCAGGAGGGUCACUU
This 2110-nucleotide long non-coding RNA is filed under the name Homo sapiens (human). RNAcentral's name for it is "HSALNT0294498". The record is from RNAcentral. Lineage: Eukaryota; Metazoa; Chordata; Mammalia; Primates; Hominidae.